AAACAUUCUGGAAGGGUGGGCAGGGCAGCUUAUAAUGCCCAGAACAAUGGCUCUGAAGUAAGCUGUGAUGGCUGCAGAUAGGCUGUAAACCUAGAGAAUACAUGGUCCUGUUCUGAGUCUCCUGUGUGCUGACUCUCAGACCUUGGGAAAGUUACUCAACCUCUUGCCUCCCUUUCUUCAUCUGAAGGAUGGGACUACUAAAGCACCUACCUUAUGGCCAUUAAAUGUUCAAUGAGCUGCCCAUGAGUCGUGAGUCACAUGGGAAGACUAAAGACCUGUGACACACAGUGCCAGAUAUAUCAAUACAAAAGAAUCUUCACAGAGAAACGACAAAGAAGAAAGGAGAGAUACAGUGCGAUAAGGAGUGGGGAGGGAAUGUGGGCUAAUAAAUUCAGGAAAGACUGCCUGGCGUGGUAGCUCAUUCCUAUAAUCUCAGCACUCGGGAAGAUGAGGCAGGUGAAUCACCUCAAGUUUGAGGCAAGCAUGGGCCACUUAGUGAGUUCAAGGACAGCUUGAACUAUACAGUGAGACUCUGUCUAAAAAAAAAAUCAAGAAAGAAUUAGAAAGAGGGGGGAAUCCCCUAAUGUCAUCAAAAUAAACACAAAAUUAAAAGGAGCACAUAACAGAGCAGUCACUGUGAAACAUACACUCACACAAAGGAGAUAAAAUCAACCAAAUGAAAAAGAAGUAAAGGAGAAAUGAUAGCAUUGAAGUCAGGCAUAAAGUUAUGGUACCUAAUUAGUUGGAGUCCCCUGAAUAAUAAAACAAAACCACACAGUAGAAAAAAUAAUAAAUGAUCCAGAAAGAAGGGGAAAAGAUGCGAGGAAAGUGGAUGAAAAAAGGAAUUAAGAUGUGUUAUGUGUAUGCACCAACUCCCCACAAGUACUAUAACAUUAUGUACUGAAAACAUGUACUAAUAAAAAAACUAGUAGUGUUCUAUAAAGAAAUAAUCUUUUAAAGAGCUAAACAAAAAGAUCAAGAUCCUGCUAAAAAGAAAGAAAAAAACAGUAGGAUUGGCAUCAGGCUUCUCCAUAGCAGCAGAAAUAUCAGACAACAGUGAAAAAAACCCAGAGGACGCAGCAGAAAGAAAAUGUGAGUCAGUGAAAGGGAUUUCAUUCCCCUCAAACUGUCUAAGAGUAAGGCCGCC
RNAcentral lists this long non-coding RNA (1147 nucleotides) under Fukomys damarensis (Damara mole-rat). Its description in RNAcentral is "lncRNA (ENSFDAG00000031345.1)". The record is from RNAcentral. Lineage: Eukaryota; Metazoa; Chordata; Mammalia; Rodentia; Bathyergidae.